UUUGGUAAAGUUCAUUAUUUGAAUAAUUGCAUUACAAGCAUUAGGUUCUAUAUUUUAGAUAUCAAAA
RNAcentral lists this transfer RNA (67 nucleotides) under Paragyrodactylus variegatus. Its description in RNAcentral is "tRNA-Val". Lineage: Eukaryota; Metazoa; Platyhelminthes; Monogenea; Gyrodactylidea; Gyrodactylidae. The record is from RNAcentral.